RNAcentral lists this non-coding RNA (307 nucleotides) under Colius striatus (speckled mousebird). RNAcentral describes it as "Bacterial small subunit ribosomal RNA". It matches the Rfam family "Bacterial small subunit ribosomal RNA", at positions 1088 to 1533 of the family's 1533-position model. Lineage: Eukaryota; Metazoa; Chordata; Aves; Coliiformes; Coliidae. The record is from Rfam by way of RNAcentral.
CACAAUAACCACCACGCGCUAAAAAGACAGGUCAAGGUAUAGCCCAUGAAGUGGAAGAAAUGGGCUACAUUUUCUAUAAUAGAACAUUCACGAAAAGGGGUAUGAAAUCUACCCCUAGAAGGCGGAUUUAGCAGUAAAAAAAGACAAUAAAACUUUUUUUAAGACGGCCCUGGGGUACGUACAUACCGCCCGUCACCCUCCUCAUAUACUGCCCACCAAUAAUACUUAAUACAACUAGCCAAAGAUAAGAAGAGGUAAGUCGUAACAAGGUAAGUGUACUGGAAAGUGCACUUAGCAUACCAAGAUG